AGCAGCCGCGGUAAUUCCAGCUCCAAUAGCGUAUAUUAAAGUUGUUGCAGUUAAAAAGCUCGUAGUUGAAUUUCGGGGUUAGCAGGUCGGUCGUGCCAAUGGUAUGCACUGGCCUUGCUGAUUCCUCCCUCUUGAUGAACCGUAAUGCCAUUAAUUUGGUGUUGCGGGGAAUCAGGACUGUUACUUUGAAAAAAUUAGAGUGUUUAAAGCAGGCAAGCGCUUGAAUACAUUAGCAUGGAAUAAUGAAAUAGGACGUUUGAUCCUAUUUUGUUGGUUUCUAGGAUUGACGUAAUGAUUAAUAGGGAUAGUUGGGGGCAUUAGUAUUCAAUUGUCAGAGGUGAAAUUCUUGGAUUUAUUGAAGACUAACUACUGCGAAAGCAUUUGCCAAGGAUGUUUUCAUUAAUCAAGAACGAAAGUUAGGGGAUCGAAGACGAUCAGAUACCGUCGUAGUCUUAACCAUAAACUAUGCCGACUAGGGAUCGGAUGAUGUUAAUUUUUUAAUGACUCAUUCGGCGCCG
Molecule: ribosomal RNA, 518 nt
Filed under: uncultured Glomus
Lineage: Eukaryota; Fungi; Glomeromycota; Glomeromycetes; Glomerales; Glomeraceae
Description: SSU rRNA
Rfam family: Eukaryotic small subunit ribosomal RNA
Source: RNAcentral